CUGCUUUGAAGGAAUCCUAAGAUGCACAAUUUUUCAAAAUGCUGCAAGCUAGUAGAUGACAUGGAAGAAUAAACACAUGAUCAGAAACUAAAGAAAGCUGACGUGGAAGAAAAGAAGAAAAAGAUGAAAGCAAUUGGAUCAAUUCACAGAAACCAUAUCAGCUGAUGUUCAAAAUGGAGGAAGACUCUCAAAACAAGUUAUCCAAAGGCUGAGGAAUUACCUGGUUUGUUGAACUCACGUGUGAUAAGGAACAUGCUAUUUGCUAAUGCAAGAAACCUCCGGAUAUCCCGUAUAGGAUGCUGUCAGUAAAAGCUCCCUGGAAUGUGAUGUUCCAAAGGAUACAGAGUGGAGAAGCCGUGACUUACUAUAGGCACCCUGUCACUUCAAUUAAUACAGCAUGCCCACCUCGAGCAAAGGAUGCUCUCAAUCCAAGGAAAUAUUCCAAUGGAUCUCUCUGGCUCUGAUGAGCAAUGGAUGAGAAAAAACAGAUGCAGAACGUCUGGUGCACACGGGAGAUGGUCCAUAACACCUGAAGGCCGCAUCUUUCUACCCCAAACAGCUAAGGCUAUCUAUAAAAUCACUGCUGGUGACACUGAAGAGUGA
This 603-nucleotide long non-coding RNA is filed under the name Bos indicus x Bos taurus (hybrid cattle). Its description in RNAcentral is "lncRNA (ENSBIXG00005013649.1)". Lineage: Eukaryota; Metazoa; Chordata; Mammalia; Artiodactyla; Bovidae. The record is from RNAcentral.